GAAUAUGGGGGGACCAUCCUCCAAGGCUAAAUACUCCUGACUGACCGAUAGUGAACCAGUACCGUGAGGGAAAGGCGAAAAGAACCCCGGCGAGGGGAGUGAAAAAGAACCUGAAACCGUGUACGUACAAGCAGUGGGAGCCCCACCACUAAGCCAGUGGUGAACUCCACAUCCGCAUCCUUUGCUGAGGAUACGGUUAACGGAGCGAAAGCGACGUUCAACCGCAAAACAAGCAGAGGGGGCUUAGUGGUGGGGUGACUGCGUACCUUUUGUAUAAUGGGUCAGCGACUUAUAUUCUGUAGCAAGGUUAACCGUAUAGGGGAGCCGGAGGGAAACCGAGUCUUAACCGGGCGUUAAGUUGCAGGGUAUAGACCCGAAACCCGGUGAUCUAGCCAUGGGCAGGUUGAAGGUUGGGUAACACUAACUGGAGGACCGAACCGACUAAUGUUGAAAAAUUAGCGGAUGACCUGUGGCUGGGGGUGAAAGGCCAAUCAAAC
RNAcentral lists this ribosomal RNA (497 nucleotides) under Salmonella enterica. RNAcentral's name for it is "partial 23S ribosomal RNA". It matches the Rfam family "Bacterial large subunit ribosomal RNA", at positions 440 to 838 of the family's 2925-position model. Lineage: Bacteria; Pseudomonadati; Pseudomonadota; Gammaproteobacteria; Enterobacterales; Enterobacteriaceae. The record is from RNAcentral.